Molecule: long non-coding RNA, 2196 nt
Filed under: Panax ginseng (ginseng)
Lineage: Eukaryota; Viridiplantae; Streptophyta; Magnoliopsida; Apiales; Araliaceae
Description: long non-coding RNA (PGIN_LNC016009)
Source: RNAcentral
AACAGGGGUAUAUAUCAUCUAAAAUGGAGUAAGUAAUUAGGAUAGAAAGACGGUGGAAAUAAUUUGGUCAAAACCAUUGUUUGCUGGGCCUAUAAAUGGCAAGAACUCCAUCUCCAUCUAUGUAUGUAUCUAGGGUUCGGGAAGCGCAGCCGAAAAAAUGUAGAAAAGCCAUAUCUGAUUUUAUAAUCUAGGUUUAGUUCUUUCAUCUCCUUAGCCAUCUUCUUAUUACUUUCUUCUAUAUCAUGUAAGGGCUGGAUGCAAAUAGGGGAGAGCUUUAUAUACGAUGGCUCUGAAAAACCUGCAGGUACUCUGUAGGGUGCCUUGUCAUUUCUUAGCCCUAUACAUUAAAUUUUAAGAAGGUAUCAUAGUAUGGAUUUCGUGCUUGAAAGUUGGUUUGUAUUUGAUUGUGAUGUUCAGCGCUUUGUUAAAUUUCCUUUCGCCUACAAUCCCCUUUCAACUCGUCACAAAUUCGCCUCCAAGCGACAUUAAAUUUCUUUUGUUUGCUUAUUAUUAUCUUUCUAUUCUUUAUGUCCUUGUUUACAACAAGUAUAUUUUGAAAAGAGUGAUUUUUGAUUAAUAGUUUCAUAUUUUGUAAUUAUACUUUAGUGUUGGUAAUGAAAAAAGCUUGGCAUGGGGUGCCUAUGCUUACAAGUGCACAUUGAAAGAACCAUAUGGCCGUUGGUAUUCAGCAGAUUGAAACUAGUUGAUGAAUGGAUAUUAUAAUCAAUAAAAUACGGUAAUCAGGUUUUUGUAUUUUAAUAUCUUAAAAAAAUGAUCUUAAAAUACAAAAAUAAGUGUUUUUUGUUGUUGCAAAAACAGGGGAAUAUAUAAUCUAAAAUGGAGUAAGAAAUUAGGAUAGAAACACGGUGGAAAUAAUUUGCUCAAAACCAUUGUUUGCUGGUCCUAUAAAUGGCAAGAACUCCAUCUCCAUUUGCAUCUAUGUAUGUAUCUAGGGUUUAGGAAGCGCAGCCGAAAAAAUGUAGAAAAGCCAUAUCCGAUUAUAUAAUCUAGGUUUAGUUCUUCUAUCUCCUUAACCAUCUUCUUAUUACUUUCAUAGGGCUGGAUGCAAAUAGGGGAGAACUUUACAUACUGUGGCUCUAAAAACCUGCAGGUACUCUGUAGGAUCCUUGUCAUUCCUUUGCCCUAUACAUUAAAUUUGAAGAUGGUAUCAUAGUACGGAUUUCGUGCUUGAAAGUUGGUUUGUAUUUGGUUGUGAUGUUUGGCGCUUUGCCAAAUUUCUUUUCGCCUACAAUCCCCUUUCAAUUCGUCACAAUCGCCAUUACAUUUCUUUCGUUUGCUUAUUAUUAUCUUUCUAUUCUUUGUGUCCUUGUUUACAACAAUUAUUUUUUGAAAAGAGUGAUUUUUGAUUAAUGGUUUCAUAUUUUGAAAUUAUACUUUAGUGUUGGUAUUGAAAAAAGCUUAGCAUGGGGUUCCUAUGCUUACAAAUGCACAUUGAAAGAACCAUAUGGCCGUUGGUAUUCAGCAUAUUGAAACUUGUUGAUGAAUGGAUAUUAUAAUCAAUAAAAUCCGGUAAUCAGAUUUUUUUAUUUUAAGAUCUUAAAAAAUGAUCAUAAAAUACAAAAAUAAGUGUUUUGUUUGUUAUUGCAAAAACAGGGGAAUAUAUCAUCCAAAAUGGAGUAAGAAAGUAGGAUAGAAAGACGUUGGAAAUAAUUUGGUCAAAACCAUUGUUUUGUUGGGCCUAUAAAUGGCAAGAACUCCAUCUCCAUCUGCAUCUGUGUAUGUAUCUAGGGUUCGGAAAGCACAGCCGAAAAAACGUAGAAAAUCCAUAUCCGAUUAUAUAAUCUAGGUUUGGAUUCUUCUAUCUCCUUAACCAUCUUCUUAUUACUUUCUUCUAUAUCAUGCAAGGGCUGGAUGCAAAUAGGGAAGAGCUUUAUAUACGAUGGCUCUGAAAAACCUGCAGGUACUCUGUAGGGUGCCUUGUCAUUCCUUAGCCCUAUACAUUAAAUUUUAAGAUGGUAUCAUAGUACGGAUUUCGUGCUUGAGAGUUGGUUUGUAUUUGAUUGUGAUGUUCGGCGCUUUGCCAAAUUUCUUUUCGCCUACAAUCCCCUUUCAAUUCGUCACAAAUUCGCCUCCAAAUGCCAUUACAUUUCUUUCGUUUGCUUAUUAUUAUCUUUCGAUUCAUUAUGUCCUUGUUUACAACAAGUAUUUUUUGAAAAGAGUGAUUUUUGAUUCAUG